AUAGAAACAUUUCUACAGACUUCUGAAAGGUUUGGGUACUUGUUGCCAGGUGCCCCUUCCUGAUGAAGGGAGAUGUGAUGGCUGCAGUCCAACGGCUGUCUUGUGACCACGAAGCAACCCUGACAACCACGCCAUGUGCCCAGAGCGUGCCUGUUAGAGCUGUUCAGACUUCCCGCUUCUUACACUUCGUAGAGGGCCAUGGUGCACACGAGGCCUUGAGGCGUUUCCCCAUUUCCCCGCGCAGAUUUGUAGCUCAGAACCACUUCUAAGCCCUUCCUCCAGAGCACUGUGAGUCCUUGGCUCAUUGGCAGUGCAUCCACUUGCUUUCUCAACGGUCUUCGUUCUUCAGACCAGACGGCUUUGGGACCACCCCUACCUUGUACAUUCCGCUUGGGGGCUUAUCUGGGGACAUGGGAAGGUUGAUGCUGUGGCCUCUGACCUCCAAGGUAUCGGGUUUGACUCCUGGGAUCACAGUACUCAAUGUCCCACGACCUCCCUUCUUCCCCUGUUAGGACAUCACCCCCCUGCAGGUGGUUCUGCCCAACACUGCCCUCCAUCUUAAGGCGUUGCUGGAUUUUGAGGAUAAGAACGGAGACAAGGUGGUGGCAGGAGAUGAGUGGCUAUUUGAAGGGCCUGGCACCUAUAUCCCCCGGAAGGAGGUGGAGGUCUUGGAGAUCAUUCAGGCCACAGUCAUCAAGCAGAACCAGGCCCUGCGGCUGAGGGCCCGCAAGGAGUGCUGGGACCGGGAGGGCAAGGAGAGGGUGACAGGAGAAGAAUGGCUGGUCCGCACCGUGGGUGCAUAUCUCCCGGCAGUGUUCGAGGAGGUUCUGGAUUUGGUGGAUGCUGUGAUCCUCACAGAAAAGACGGCCCUGCACCUCCGGGCUCAGCAGAACUUUCGAGACUUGAGAGGCGUGAGCCGCCGCACCGGGGAGGAGUGGCUGGUGACCGUGCAGGACACGGAGGCCCACGUGCCAGAUGUCUGUGAGGAGGUGCUGGGGAUCGUGCCCAUCACCACCUUGGGC
Molecule: long non-coding RNA, 1022 nt
Organism: Neomonachus schauinslandi (Hawaiian monk seal)
Lineage: Eukaryota; Metazoa; Chordata; Mammalia; Carnivora; Phocidae
Exons: 4
Source: RefSeq, a predicted model, not a curated record